This 76-nucleotide transfer RNA is filed under the name Actinomadura sp. Its description in RNAcentral is "tRNA-Lys". It matches the Rfam family "tRNA". From Rfam's summary of the family: Transfer RNA (tRNA) molecules are approximately 80 nucleotides in length. Their secondary structure includes four short double-helical elements and three loops (D, anti-codon, and T loops). Further hydrogen bonds mediate the characteristic L-shaped molecular structure. tRNAs have two regions of fundamental functional importance: the anti-codon, which is responsible for specific mRNA codon recognition, and the 3' end, to which the tRNAs corresponding amino acid is attached (by aminoacyl-tRNA synthetases). tRNAs cope with the degeneracy of the genetic code in two manners: having more than one tRNA (with a specific anti-codon) for a particular amino acid; and 'wobble' base-pairing, i.e. permitting non-standard base-pairing at the 3rd anti-codon position. RNAcentral also lists the same sequence under 10 other names. The record is from RNAcentral. Lineage: Bacteria; Bacillati; Actinomycetota; Actinomycetes; Streptosporangiales; Thermomonosporaceae.
GGGUCGCUAGCUCAAUUGGCAGAGCUCCGGACUUUUAAUCCGUAGGCUGUGGGUUCGAGUCCCACGCGACCCACCA